RNAcentral lists this non-coding RNA (21 nucleotides) under Caenorhabditis elegans. The record is from RNAcentral. Lineage: Eukaryota; Metazoa; Nematoda; Chromadorea; Rhabditida; Rhabditidae.
UGUCAAUUGCGGGAUAACUUC